AAGACUAUAGACCUGCGGAGUACCUGCGGAAGGAUCAUUAUCGUAUUGUAACAAUUGGGGGGGCCACCGUGGGCUGUCGCUGACCCUUUGAAAGGGGGGUCGUGCACGCCCCCAUAGUGUCAUCCUCAUACAAUCCAACUCACCUCUGUGCAUCACCGCGUGGGUUCCUUUCUGGGUCGAGUCAGACUGGCUCAGAAAAAAGGGGCUUGCGUUUUCCAUACAAUUACCCUUAUAAAUCCA
This 240-nucleotide unclassified non-coding RNA is filed under the name soil metagenome. RNAcentral's name for it is "partial contains 5.8S ribosomal RNA, internal transcribed spacer 2, and large subunit ribosomal RNA". The record is from RNAcentral.